AUUUAUGGUUCAGUUACUGAAGAUAUCUUGACGGGAUUUAAAAUGCAUGCCCGGGGAUGGAUAUCAAUCUAUUGCAUGCCUCCGCGACCUGCAUUCAAGGGUUCCGCCCCAAUCAAUCUUUCUGAUCGUCUAAACCAGGUGCUUCGGUGGGCUCUGGGAUCUAUUGAGAUCUUGCUUAGUAGGCAUUGUCCCAUCUGGUAUGGUUACACCGGGAAGCUCAAGUUACUGGAACGGAUAGCGUACAUCAAUACCAUUGUUUACCCCCUCACAUCCAUCCCACUGAUCGCGUACUGUAUACUUCCCGCCAUCUGCCUCCUCACAGGAAAAUUUAUUAUCCCCGAGAUAAGCAACUAUGCCGGAAUGUGGUUCAUUCUGCUCUUUGUAUCCAUCUUCGCAACUGGAAUUCUGGAACUCAAAUGGAGCGG
This 425-nucleotide unclassified non-coding RNA is filed under the name Hevea brasiliensis (rubber tree). Lineage: Eukaryota; Viridiplantae; Streptophyta; Magnoliopsida; Malpighiales; Euphorbiaceae. The record is from RNAcentral.